GGAUGCUCUGUGAACCCACAUCACAAUUAACCCCUCAAGAACAUAUUCACAGGCCUAAACACAAGGCAUUUAAUCUGCAACAUACAAUAGCAGGGACUCUUCAGCAUCAGGCUACAUCCGGAAAAACAGCUCUUACUGCUGGCUGGUGCUGACGGCAGUCCUGGCAGAGAUACAGCAAGAGAGAUCACACCUGUUUUUAGCUGUGUAAGAAGGCCAACAUCAAGAAACAAUCAAGAUGGAAGAAGGCCUUUUUGAUUACUCUGCAAAGCUGUUUGAGAUGUGGGCACCCGAUUACUUUGUCACUGGGACAGGCUCUAAUCUCCCCGACGUGGAGAUAAAAACACAGGCACAGUGUAAGAAACCCGGCCUCGCAUCUGUGAGUCCUGCUGGCACUGAGCUUGCUUCGCUCUUGAGUGUGUCAGCUAUGUGUGUGUCAUCUGGGAAAGCCAGAGGAUUUCUCUGAGACUCUGACACAAAACUCACAUGGGAAUAAUUUCCUAAAGCAGAGCCACAACCUCAUAAUGGAUCUCUGCAGGAGGGGAAGACUGCUGGGAAGAAAUGUUUGGAUCAGGAAUGACAACUGAAAGAUGCAGCUGAUGACAAGAAAAGGGAAGAGAGUCCCAAGAAGAGUGAACCUCAUGUACCAAAACACAUUGCUGCUGUCCUGCUCUGAGGAUAACCUUACUUAAAUUGCCAGCCUGAGAUAAGACUA
Taeniopygia guttata (zebra finch) is the source of this 712-nucleotide non-coding RNA. The record is from RefSeq and is a predicted model, not a curated record. Lineage: Eukaryota; Metazoa; Chordata; Aves; Passeriformes; Estrildidae.